RNAcentral lists this long non-coding RNA (1066 nucleotides) under Anas platyrhynchos platyrhynchos (common mallard). RNAcentral's name for it is "lncRNA (ENSAPLG00000026166.1)". The record is from RNAcentral. Lineage: Eukaryota; Metazoa; Chordata; Aves; Anseriformes; Anatidae.
GGUGUUGCUGAGAUACAGUCACAUGUAAGGCUGAGGACCCAUGGUGACGUGUUCCAGUUUAUUGUCAUCUGCAAUACUGCUGUGAAAAACAUUAAUUUGGAAAGGCUGGAUCUCCAAAUUGAUGUAGCAGUAAUCACGUACAUCCCAAAUGGCCUGGAACCGGAUACACUGUGCCUGUUGCUAUCUGUUUCCUAGGAUUUUCUGUAAUCAAGAAAAUGUCAACAAGUACCCCGGAAGCCAUUAUUGUCCCAGAGCUCAAUUAGCAGAGGUUGGAGGAGAUGGAAGCAGGAGGUACUGCUGCAUUUUUCCCACCCAGAGUACAGCCAGUUGGCUUAGUGCUGUUAUAUGGAUUGGAUAUCAGCCCUUAAUCUUAUAAUCUUAUGACAAACUCCAAAGUCACUGAAGAGUCCAGACACCAAGGCAGGCUCACCUGUGGUGUGGCCAAGUACCACCACCAUGGACCAUCACCUGCUGCAGAGACAGCCCUCUCUUCUCCUCAGCAGAGCCAAGCACAUGACCUACAACUUGGGUUUUAUUCCAAGCUUCAAACCACUCUUCAAAAAAUCUCAAGCAUGAUCUGGGGAAUGCCUGCAUACAUUGUCCAAAUGCAAGACUGCCAUCUCCUGGGCAGCUGGGAAACUCAGUCUACAACAGCCCCUGAAAACCACCCUGGAAUAACUCAGAGGCCGUGUGACCAAGAAGGCACAGCCAUGGUGGGUAUAGCCCAAGGAAGAGAGACACAGCAUUGGGGUACUUCGGAAGCAAAUCUGGCCUGCUCUGUGUUUAACCCAUGCACUAAGCAGAGCAUGAGCAGUGUCUUUGGGCUCUCAACCAGAAAUUAGAGAGCCAGAUGGGCCAAGCAGGCUGCUUCCUGGGUGCUCAGCACUGCUGUAUCCCUGCCUGCCUCUUUGGAGCAGUUUCCUGCACACCUCUGACCUUCCUGAAGGGCGGAAAGACACCAGGCCGAGCUGGGUGGCCCUGCACCGUGGCUGGAGGGUGCUGGCAGGACAGAGGCACUGGACUGGCACUGGGUUCAGGGAACCGCAGCUCUUCUCCCACCCCUCCC